GACGUAGGGCGCGAGCGUUGUCCGGAUUUAUUGGGCGUAAAGCGCACGUAGGCGGUUUGUUAAGUCGGAUGUGAAAUCCCUCGGCUCAACUGAGGAAGUGCAUCCGAAACUGGCAGGCUUGAGUACUAAAGAGGGUCGCGGAAUUCCCGGUGUAGAGGUGAAAUUCGUAGAUAUCGGGAGGAACACCGGUGGCGAAGGCGGCGACCUGGGUAGAUACUGACGCUGAGGUGCGAAAGCGUGGGGAGCAAACAGG
RNAcentral lists this ribosomal RNA (253 nucleotides) under uncultured bacterium. Its description in RNAcentral is "partial 16S ribosomal RNA". It matches the Rfam family "Bacterial small subunit ribosomal RNA", at positions 524 to 776 of the family's 1533-position model. The record is from RNAcentral.